RNAcentral lists this ribosomal RNA (468 nucleotides) under uncultured bacterium. RNAcentral describes it as "partial 16S ribosomal RNA". It matches the Rfam family "Bacterial small subunit ribosomal RNA", at positions 28 to 507 of the family's 1533-position model. The record is from RNAcentral.
GAUGAACGCUGGCGGCGUGCUUAACACAUGCAAGUCGAACGGAAAGGCCCAAGCUUGCUUGGGUACUCGAGUGGCGAACGGGUGAGUAACACGUGGGUGAUCUGCCCUGCACUUCGGGAUAAGCCUGGGAAACUGGGUCUAAUACCGGAUAGGACGAUGGUUUGGAUGCCAUUGUGGAAAGUUUUUUCGGUGUGGGAUGAGCUCGCGGCCUAUCAGCUUGUUGGUGGGGCAAUGGCCUACCAAGGCGUCGACGGGUAGCCGGCCUGAGAGGGUGUACGGCCACAUUGGGACUGAGAUACGGCCCAGACUCCUACGGGAGGCAGCAGUGGGGAAUAUUGCACAAUGGGCGCAAGCCUGAUGCAGCGACGCCGCGUGGGGGAUGACGGCCUUCGGGUUGUAAACUCCUUUCGCUAGGGACGAAGCGUUUUUGUGACGGUACCUGGAGAAGAAGCACCGGCUAACUACGUG